ACGCAGUGAGACAACGGAGCCGCUUGCGGCGACGGCCCGAAGGGCGAGGCGAAGCCGAGUCAUCCUGCACGACCCACCA
RNAcentral lists this small RNA (79 nucleotides) under Klebsiella pneumoniae subsp. pneumoniae. RNAcentral describes it as "partial RtT sRNA". It matches the Rfam family "RtT RNA", at positions 52 to 130 of the family's 130-position model. Rfam says of the family: This family represents a bacterial cis-regulatory element known as RtT RNA. The exact function of RtT is unknown although it is thought that it may be involved in changing the cellular response in relation to amino acid starvation. Lineage: Bacteria; Pseudomonadati; Pseudomonadota; Gammaproteobacteria; Enterobacterales; Enterobacteriaceae. RNAcentral also lists the same sequence under 1 other name. The record is from RNAcentral.